GAUGAACGCUGGCGGCGUGCCUAAUACAUGCAAGUCGAGCGAACAGACGAGGAGCUUGCUCCUCUGACGUUAGCGGCGGACGGGUGAGUAACACGUGGAUAACCUACCUAUAAGACUGGGAUAACUUCGGGAAACCGGAGCUAAUACCGGAUAAUAUAUUGAACCGCAUGGUUCAAUAGUGAAAGACGGUUUUGCUGUCACUUAUAGAUGGAUCCGCGCCGCAUUAGCUAGUUGGUAAGGUAACGGCUUACCAAGGCAACGAUGCGUAGCCGACCUGAGAGGGUGAUCGGCCACCCUGGAACUGAGCAACGGUCCAGACUCCUACGGGAGGCAGCAGUAGGGAAUCUUCCGCAAUGGGCGAAAGCUUGACGGAGCAACGCCGCGUGAGUGAUGAAGGUCUUCGGAUCGUAAAACUCUGUUAUUAGGGAAGAACAAAUGUGUAAGUAACUAUGCACGUCUUGACGGUACCUAAUCAGAAAGCCACGGCUAACUACGUG
Molecule: ribosomal RNA, 497 nt
Filed under: uncultured bacterium
Lineage: Bacteria
Description: partial 16S ribosomal RNA
Rfam family: Bacterial small subunit ribosomal RNA
Source: RNAcentral